This 724-nucleotide non-coding RNA is filed under the name Pongo abelii (Sumatran orangutan). Lineage: Eukaryota; Metazoa; Chordata; Mammalia; Primates; Hominidae. The record is from RNAcentral.
AGAUCAGCCCUGGGGUUCAGAGGGAUCCUGACGGCUACUCCUCAAGAUCCUCUCUGUUGUGAUUCAUCCCCCCCAGGCCCUACAGUUUCUCCUUCCUGACUCUUACAUUUCUUUGGAUGGCAUCACUAUUAAACUAACUACUAAGUCUCUAUUGGUCAACCAUGUUGGCCAGGCUGGUCUUGAACCCUAGACCUUGUGAUCCACCCGCUUCGGCCUCCAAAAGUGCUAGGAUUACAGGCAUGAGCCACCGUGCCCGGCCCAGAGAGUCUUAAAUACCUGUCUCCUCCCAUAGUUAGUUGCCAAGCACUGUGGAUUCUACCCCUCAGGGUCCAGACACCCAUUUUCCUUCCCACUGUUCCCUCCCCAUGGAGAAGCCUGUGGCUGACUGACAGCUCAACUUGGAGAAGGUGUUACCUGGGCCAGGUGGGGAAGGUAGGGUUGUUUGCAGAGCAAAGAAGUGAAGCAGAACCAACCCCUCCUCUUCUUCCUCCCCCUCAGCCUAUUCAAUGUGAAAAAGAUGAGGGCGAAGACCUUUAUGAUGAUCCAAGUAAUGAACACACUGGAGAAAGUCAAACAGUCAAAACAAUGUCCCAGACUCCGUGAAGUUCCUGGGUAGAGAAGUAGACAGACGUACACCAUACCUAAUAAUUGGAGGUCCAAGAGAAUGAGAGAAUGGCAGAAAGAACUUUAGAGCAUGGGUAUGAUGGCUAGAGCUUGAGCAGCC